UACGGGGGGGGGCAAGCGUUGUUCGGAAUUACUGGGCGUAAAGGGCUCGUAGGCGGCCAACUAAGUCAGACGUGAAAUCCCCAGGCUCAACCUGGGAACUGCGUCUGAUACUGGAUGGCUUGAAUUCGGGAGAGGGAUGCAGAAUUCCAGGUGUAGCGGUGAAAUGCGUAGAUAUCAGGAGGAACACCGGUGGCGAAGGCGGGUCUCUGGGCCGUAACUGACGCUGAGGAGCGAAAGCAUGGGGAGCGAACAGG
This 254-nucleotide ribosomal RNA is filed under the name uncultured bacterium. RNAcentral's name for it is "partial 16S ribosomal RNA". It matches the Rfam family "Bacterial small subunit ribosomal RNA", at positions 524 to 776 of the family's 1533-position model. The record is from RNAcentral.